AAUCAACGCUGGCGGCGUGCCUCAGACAUGCAAGUCGAACGCGAAAGCUCCCUUCGGGGGGCAAGUAGAGUGGCGCACGGGUGAGUAACACGUAGGUAAUCUACCUUCGGGUGGGGAAUAACAACCGGAAACGGUUGCUAAUACCGCAUAAUGCAGCGGCACCUAAUGGUGACAGUUGUUAAAGCGGGGGAUCGAAAGAUCUCGCGCCUGAAGAGGAGCCUGCGGCGGAUUAGCAGUUGGUAGGGUAACGGCCUACCAAGGCGACGAUCCGUAGCCGGCCUGAGAGGGCGGUCGGCCACACUGACACUGACAUACGGGUCAGACUCCUACGGGAGGCAGCAGUCGGGAAUUUUGGGCAAUGGGCGAAAGCCUGACCCAGCAACGCCGCGU
RNAcentral lists this ribosomal RNA (390 nucleotides) under uncultured bacterium. RNAcentral describes it as "bacterial SSU rRNA". It matches the Rfam family "Bacterial small subunit ribosomal RNA", at positions 32 to 402 of the family's 1533-position model. The record is from RNAcentral.